CAGGAGACAAGUUAUAAUUGAGGUAAGUUUGGAAACACUACCUUAUUUAAUCAUUAAAUUAUUACAUCUCUUUUCGGUGUUGUAGUUUGUAGACGGUCCAUAAGCACUCGUCUAACUGCCGGUAGCCGCAGCAG
Long non-coding RNA from Sander lucioperca (pikeperch), 134 nucleotides. RefSeq lists it as uncharacterized. The record is from RefSeq and is a predicted model, not a curated record. The transcript is spliced from 3 exons. Lineage: Eukaryota; Metazoa; Chordata; Actinopteri; Perciformes; Percidae.